UAAACUGGAGGAAGGUGGGGAUGACGUCAAGUCAUCAUGGCCCUUAGACCCAGGGCUACACACGUGCUACAAUGGCGCAUACAAAGAGAAGCGACCUCGCGAGAGCAAGCGGACCUCAUAAAGUGCGUCGUAGUCCGGAUUGGAGUCUGCAACUCGACUCCAUGAAGUCGGAAUCGCUAGUAAUCGUGGAUCAGAAUGCCACGGUGAAUACGUUCCCGGGCCUU
RNAcentral lists this ribosomal RNA (224 nucleotides) under uncultured Enterobacteriaceae bacterium. RNAcentral describes it as "partial 16S ribosomal RNA". It matches the Rfam family "Bacterial small subunit ribosomal RNA", at positions 1159 to 1382 of the family's 1533-position model. The record is from RNAcentral. Lineage: Bacteria; Pseudomonadati; Pseudomonadota; Gammaproteobacteria; Enterobacterales; Enterobacteriaceae.